GUUGCGCAGAAGUUUUCAGAACCAGAAUCAAAACAUUGGAAGUCGAUUUUUGAGCAGCAUGUCGUGGAAGUACGGAAAUGAUUUUGUUGGCUUCGAGGACGAAGAUAUCGAAUGGGAUUUUGUGAUGGGACAGGAAGACUUUUUCCCCUCUAAUGCUGCCGAUGUUCCAGACGAUAUGAAAGUACAUGUACGCGAAUCUGCUAAACGGAGAAAUUUCGUCUACGUCUGCCCGACUUGCGACAAGCAGUACAAAAGUUUAAGUGGCUUCAAGGGGCACAUGAAAAAUGUUCAUGAUACAAACGUCAAAGUUCCUGAACACUAGCAAACUGGCAAUAUUCAAUCUGUGAAAAGAAGGUCCAGUGAAGAACACAGCAGAUCAGUGUUGGCAAGAACCCGAAGGGACACCAUGGACUACCAGUCUGAAACAGUUGAAGCAGCAAGCACAAGUGAACUAAGUAUUGAGGAAGAGCAGGCACUCAGAUAUUUUGCUGAUUACAUUCCCUACAACUUAAAGAAAAUGGCAAUGAAAGCACAAAAGCAAAAUUAAUUAAAAUUUGUAUUUAUUUAUAACUUAUUUACAUCUAACAAUAAAUACAAAAAACAGCAA
This is a long non-coding RNA of Saccoglossus kowalevskii, 607 nucleotides long. The record is from RefSeq and is a predicted model, not a curated record. Lineage: Eukaryota; Metazoa; Hemichordata; Enteropneusta; Harrimaniidae.